AGAGUUUGAUCAUGGCUCAGAUUGAACGCUGGCGGCAGGCCUAACACAUGCAAGUCGAACGGUAACAGGAAACAGCUUGCUGUUUCGCUGACGAGUGGCGGACGGGUGAGUAAUGUCUGGGAAACUGCCUGAUGGAGGGGGAUAACUACUGGAAACGGUAGCUAAUACCGCAUAACGUCGCAAGACCAAAGAGGGGGACCUUCGGGCCUCUUGCCAUCGGAUGUGCCCAGAUGGGAUUAGCUUGUUGGUGGGGUAACGGCUCACCAAGGCGACGAUCCCUAGCUGGUCUGAGAGGAUGACCAGCCACACUGGAACUGAGACACGGUCCAGACUCCUACGGGAGGCAGCAGUGGGGAAUAUUGCACAAUGGGCGCAAGCCUGAUGCAGCCAUGCCGCGUGUAUGAAGAAGGCCUUCGGGUUGUAAAGUACUUUCAGCGGGGAGGAAGGGAGUAAAGUUAAUACCUUUGCUCAUUGACGUUACCCGCAGAAGAAGCACCGGCUAACUCCGUGCCAGCAGCCGCGGUAAUACGGAGGGUGCAAGCGUUAAUCGGAAUUACUGGGCGUAAAGCGCACGCAGGCGGUUUGUUAAGUCAGAUGUGAAAUCCCCGGGCUCAACCUGGGAACUGCAUCUGAUACUGGCAAGCUUGAGUCUCGUAGAGGGGGGUAGAAUUCCAGGUGUAGCGGUGAAAUGCGUAGAGAUCUGGAGGAAUACCGGUGGCGAAGGCGGCCCCCUGGACGAAGACUGACGCUCAGGUGCGAAAGCGUGGGGAGCAAACAGGAUUAGAUACCCUGGUAGUCCACGCCGUAAACGAUGUCGACUUGGAGGUUGUGCCCUUGAGGCGUGGCUUCCGGAGCUAACGCGUUAAGUCGACCGCCUGGGGAGUACGGCCACAAGGUUAAAACUCAAAUGAAUUGACGGGGGCCCGCACAAGCGGUGGAGCAUGUGGUUUAAUUCGAUGCAACGCGAAGAACCUUACCUGGUCUUGACAUCCACGGAAGUUUUCAGAGAUGAGAAUGUGCCUUCGGGAACCGUGAGACAGGUGCUGCAUGGCUGUCGUCAGCUCGUGUUGUGAAAUGUUGGGUUAAGUCCCGCAACGAGCGCAACCCUUAUCCUUUGUUGCCAGCGGUCCGGCCGGGAACUCAAAGGAGACUGCCAGUGAUAAACUGGAGGAAGGUGGGGAUGACGUCAAGUCAUCAUGGCCCUUACGACCAGGGCUACACACGUGCUACAAUGGCGCAUACAAAGAGAAGCGACCUCGCGAGAGCAAGCGGACCUCAUAAAGUGCGUCGUAGUCCGGAUUGGAGUCUGCAACUCGACUCCAUGAAGUCGGAAUCGCUAGUAAUCGUGGAUCAGAAUGCCACGGUGAAUACGUUCCCGGGCCUUGUACACACCGCCCGUCACACCAUGGGAGUGGGUUGCAAAAGAAGUAGGUAGCUUAACCUUCGGGAGGGCGCUUACCACUUUGUGAUUCAUGACUGGGGUGAAGUCGUAACAAGGUAACCGUAGGGGAACCUGCGGUUGGAUCACCU
This 1530-nucleotide ribosomal RNA is filed under the name Escherichia coli. RNAcentral's name for it is "bacterial SSU rRNA". It matches the Rfam family "Bacterial small subunit ribosomal RNA". The record is from RNAcentral. Lineage: Bacteria; Pseudomonadati; Pseudomonadota; Gammaproteobacteria; Enterobacterales; Enterobacteriaceae.